This 381-nucleotide ribosomal RNA is filed under the name Veillonella dispar ATCC 17748. Its description in RNAcentral is "bacterial SSU rRNA". It matches the Rfam family "Bacterial small subunit ribosomal RNA", at positions 48 to 406 of the family's 1533-position model. The record is from RNAcentral. Lineage: Bacteria; Bacillati; Bacillota; Negativicutes; Veillonellales; Veillonellaceae.
UUAACACAUGCAAGUCGAACGAAGAGCGAUGGAAGCUUGCUUCUAUCAAUCUUAGUGGCGAACGGGUGAGUAACGCGUAAUCAACCUGCCCUUCAGAGGGGGACAACAGUUGGAAACGACUGCUAAUACCGCAUACGAUCUAAUCUCGGCAUCGAGGAUGGAUGAAAGGUGGCCUCUAUUUAUAAGCUAUCACUGAAGGAGGGGAUUGCGUCUGAUUAGCUAGUUGGAGGGGUAACGGCCCACCAAGGCGAUGAUCAGUAGCCGGUCUGAGAGGAUGAACGGCCACAUUGGGACUGAGACACGGCCCAGACUCCUACGGGAGGCAGCAGUGGGGAAUCUUCCACAAUGGACGAAAGUCUGACGGAGCAACGCCGCGUGAGU